CAAAGAGACGCAAAGUCGCGAGGCGGAGCAAAUCUCAAAAGCCGAUCCCAGUUCGGAUUGCAGGCUGCAACUCGCCUGCAUGAAGUUGGAGUUGCUAGUAAUCGCGGAUCAGAAUGCCGCGGUGAAUGCGUUCCCGGGUCUUGUACACACCGCCCGUCACACCACGGAAGUUGGGGGUGCCCAAAGUUGGCAGGAUAAUAUGUUACCUAAGGCAAAACCGAUGACUGGGGUGAAGUCGUAACAAGGUAUC
This 250-nucleotide ribosomal RNA is filed under the name uncultured bacterium. Its description in RNAcentral is "partial 16S ribosomal RNA". It matches the Rfam family "Bacterial small subunit ribosomal RNA", at positions 1240 to 1500 of the family's 1533-position model. The record is from RNAcentral.